This 734-nucleotide long non-coding RNA is filed under the name Cyanistes caeruleus (blue tit). Its description in RNAcentral is "lncRNA (ENSCCEG00000012230.1)". Lineage: Eukaryota; Metazoa; Chordata; Aves; Passeriformes; Paridae. The record is from RNAcentral.
UGCAGUUCCGGCCUCUUCUGGGGAAUUAAGUUAUGCAUACUGCAUGAAAAUAGGACCACAGGCUGGGCCCCUACAAGCUGCUAAUUGAAAACCUUGUCAGAAGUAGGAGGAAGUGGCAAGAAACUUGGCAGGCCCUCCUGCUUUUCAUGCUGUACUUAGCUCUUGGUACUUAUGAAUGGCAGCUCUGCAGCACUUUGCAGAGGUUUACAAGUUGUGCCAGUGCUGUCUCUGCAAUUAUAGAACAACACCUUCUUCCCUGUGAGCUGAAAAAGAGAAAAGAGCAUUUAUAUUCAGAAAGCCACAUCCUGUGUUUUUCAUCCAGAUACCUAGAGGAAGACUACCUGGCAUGUGCUUUCCAAAACUCCUUGCAAGAGGAAGUAAAGCAAAGCUAUGCUCCAGAUGCUGCAUUACUAGGAAUCCAUAUGGGAGAAACCCUAACACAAAAACAGCCACCUGCAUACCUGGACCCUCAUCUGACUACAACUGGGAAAGAGCUUUGGGGAAGUCCAGUCCCACUGUGACACCAGAUUGCACCAUGAACUAUCAGCAUAUGAAGCCCUGCAACGUGAGCAAACAGCUGGGUACAUCAUUUUCUGGAGUGGAAAGGCCAGUGUUGAACAAAAUAGACUCUCAGGACUUAAGGAUCCCAGACCUGUAGAAGGCAGACACAGAAGGAGGGAAAAUUCAGGAGCAGUAAAUUUGUGUUCCAAAUAAAACUUCCCUGCUUGUGCCCA